This 635-nucleotide ribosomal RNA is filed under the name Salmonella enterica subsp. enterica serovar Derby. Its description in RNAcentral is "partial 23S ribosomal RNA". It matches the Rfam family "Bacterial large subunit ribosomal RNA", at positions 1273 to 1891 of the family's 2925-position model. The record is from RNAcentral. Lineage: Bacteria; Pseudomonadati; Pseudomonadota; Gammaproteobacteria; Enterobacterales; Enterobacteriaceae.
CUGGAGGUAUCAGAAGUGCGAAUGCUGACAUAAGUAACGAUAAAGCGGGUGAAAAGCCCGCUCGCCGGAAGACCAAGGGUUCCUGUCCAACGUUAAUCGGGGCAGGGUGAGUCGACCCCUAAGGCGAGGCCGAAAGGCGUAGUCGAUGGGAAACGGGUUAAUAUUCCCGUACUUGGUGUUACUGCGAAGGGGGGACGGAGAAGGCUAUGUUGGCCGGGCGACGGUUGUCCCGGUUUAAGCGUGUAGGUGUGUGUUCCAGGUAAAUCCGGUUCACUUUAACACUGAGGCGUGAUGACGAGGCACUACGGUGCUGAAGCAACAAAUGCCCUGCUUCCAGGAAAAGCCUCUAAGCAUCAGGUAACAUCAAAUCGUACCCCAAACCGACACAGGUGGUCAGGUAGAGAAUACCAAGGCGCUUGAGAGAACUCGGGUGAAGGAACUAGGCAAAAUGGUGCCGUAACUUCGGGAGAAGGCACGCUGACACGUAGGUGAAGUGAUUUACUCAUGGAGCUGAAGUCAGUCGAAGAUACCAGCUGGCUGCAACUGUUUAUUAAAAACACAGCACUGUGCAAACACGAAAGUGGACGUAUACGGUGUGACGCCUGCCCGGUGCCGGAAGGUUAAUUGAUGGGGUC